Molecule: ribosomal RNA, 207 nt
Filed under: uncultured bacterium
Lineage: Bacteria
Description: partial 16S ribosomal RNA
Rfam family: Bacterial small subunit ribosomal RNA
Source: RNAcentral
GGUGUAGGCGGCUCUUCGAGUCGGAUGUGAAAUCUCCCGGCUUAACUGGGAGGGGUCAUUCGAUACUGCUGGGCUGGAGUGCAGCAGAGGAAAGCGGAAUUCCCGGUGUAGUGGUGAAAUGCGUAGAUAUCGGGAGGAACACCAGUGGCGAAGGCGGCUUUCUAGGCUGUAACUGACGCUGAGACCCAUAAGCGUGGGGAGCAAACA